ACCACGCUGGCCUCCAGGCCCCGCCCCGUCUUACUCUAGCCUUUCUCCACCAGGGUGGAGAUUGAAAAGGGAAAGAAGGAAGCAAGAACUCGAUUGCUUCUUAGUUAUGCUAAUGAGCACAUUCAGUGACAUUUCUUGGCCGAAGGGAAAAGAACGCCCACCCUUGGAGACUUUAAAAGCGGGUGGGUCUCCCUUUGCACCGGCAAGUGCACCUCUAAGAUUCUGAUUCUUUCCUCGGCUGGAAGUUAAAAGUGCAGCGCUUUCGUUUCAGUGUGCUAUAUUCUAUUUCUGCGCUAUCUCACCGAGACCAGCCAAGCGGAUCAACUACGUAGAAGGCAGAAGGAUGCCUAGUCCCUCUCCAUUCGUUCCUUAAGAUCUCUGUGCCACCAUCCUUUCCUCCUCCUUCUCUGUCACCCAUUUCGUUUCCAGGAGGCGCAGAGAAGCUCCAAACUGAGCUUUCUCCAGCAGCCACGUGCCGAGAGUAGACCUAAAGGUCGGUUUUCGGACAGUCCAUUUCAUAGGAUGUCUCAAGCGGGAGAGAAUCAAAUCCGGGUCACGUGAAUACACUGCCUUGAUAGUCUGUGUUGCUGUUGCAAAUGAUUCACAAGCCCUCAAGAAGGAAGGCUGGCUGUCCUCCAGCCUCACCGCCCACUCGUAGGAAUAUUGUAACCCAAUUUUUCCCCAGGAGCGCAUCUCUGCCCUGAAAGCAACUUUCCUCUCGGACUUGCCCGGUUGAACCCCGCCCUUCAAACCCCCAACUUGAUUUGGAAAGCAGCCGGUCUCCACGGAUGCACUAGGCAGUUUCCACCUAGGUUACGAAGGAUGGCGGCACGUUUCGAACCACGUGCUUCUCCCCACAAGUGCCGCUUCGGACUCCCACCACCAGAACCCCAGUUUGCACAGGUGCAGGAGACAGAGCCAGAGGAUAGCCCCCAGAAACCAGCGUUACCUUUCCACGCUUCCCACCGCCGUUCCUCCUCCCAUCCCAGGAUCCAGCCUGAGUCUGGAGCUCCAUCCAAGCAUCUUUCUUGGCGCCCGACUCCUCCAGGGUGGCUGAAUGGAGAGCCCCACCCUACCCCCGGCGGUGCUCCAGCACCACUAAAAGGCAACGCUAACAACUGCAAUUGUCCUGUUCUGCCACUUUGCUGGAAUCUGUAAGAAGUCUAGCCAGAGGUAAAGGAUUCUGGGCUUUCUGCCUCUCCAGCCCCCCAUACCAUCUAUUUACAUAUUUUGUGAAAGAAAAGCUUUGGAUCUUUGCUUCUCAGCUGAGUCCCGACAGCCUCAAGGAUCCCAGCGAGGUUGUGUAAAGUGGUAUUAGGGAACUAAUCCUCACUUUAGGUCUGUGCCUAUGUAGCAGAUUCUCCUUCAAA
Molecule: long non-coding RNA, 1370 nt
Organism: Mus musculus (house mouse)
Lineage: Eukaryota; Metazoa; Chordata; Mammalia; Rodentia; Muridae
Product: RIKEN cDNA 6430590A10 gene
Exons: 2
Source: RefSeq, a predicted model, not a curated record